GACGAACGCUGGCGGCGUGCCUAACACAUGCAAGUCGAACGGAAAGGCCCGGCUUUGGUGGGGUGCUCGAGUGGCGAACGGGUGAGUAACACGUGAGUAACCUGCCCUUGACUUUGGGAUAACUUCAGGAAACUGGGGCUAAUACCGGAUAGGAGCUCCUGCUGCAUGGUGGGGGCUGGAAAGUUUCGGCGGUUGGGGAUGGACUCGCGGCUUAUCAGCUUGUUGGUUGGGUAGUGGCAUAGCAAGGCUUGGACGCGUAGCCGGCCUGGGCGGGUGAGCGGCCACGUCGGACCUGAGCUGCGGCCCAGCCCCCUACGGGACGCAGCGGUGGAGAGUGUUGCAUUGUGGGCGGAGGCCUGGUGCGACAACGCCGCGCGCGGGGUGACAGGCUUCGGGUUGUGUUCUGCUUUCGCCUGUCCCGGAGCGUGAGUGACGGUACUGGGUGAAGAAGCUCCGGCUAACUCCGUG
This 468-nucleotide ribosomal RNA is filed under the name uncultured bacterium. RNAcentral's name for it is "partial 16S ribosomal RNA". It matches the Rfam family "Bacterial small subunit ribosomal RNA", at positions 28 to 507 of the family's 1533-position model. The record is from RNAcentral.